CCUGGCUGUCCUGGAACUCACUCUGUAGACCAGGCUGGCCUCGAACUCACAGAGAUCUGCCUGCCUCUGCCUCCUGAGUACUGGGAU
RNAcentral lists this microRNA precursor (87 nucleotides) under Mus caroli (Ryukyu mouse). RNAcentral describes it as "miRNA (MGP_CAROLIEiJ_G0006957.1)". Lineage: Eukaryota; Metazoa; Chordata; Mammalia; Rodentia; Muridae. The record is from RNAcentral.